This 29-nucleotide non-coding RNA is filed under the name Homo sapiens (human). The record is from RNAcentral. Lineage: Eukaryota; Metazoa; Chordata; Mammalia; Primates; Hominidae.
UGAGGAGGCCAUCCAGCUGUACCAGCUGC